UGAGCAACCUGCCCAUGGCUUUGGGAUAACCCUCGGAAACGGGGGCUAAUACCGAAUGUUCACUGCUGGACGCAUGUUUGGUGGUGGAAAGUUUUUCGGCUGGGGAUGGGCUCGCGGCCUAUCAGCUUGUUGGUGGGGUGAUGGCCUACCAAGGCGACGACGGGUAGCCGGCCUGAGAGGGCGACCGGCCACACUGGGACUGAGACACGGCCCAGACCUCCGUACGGGAGCAG
RNAcentral lists this ribosomal RNA (233 nucleotides) under uncultured bacterium. RNAcentral's name for it is "partial 16S ribosomal RNA". It matches the Rfam family "Bacterial small subunit ribosomal RNA", at positions 118 to 347 of the family's 1533-position model. The record is from RNAcentral.